This is a long non-coding RNA of Onychostoma macrolepis, 3993 nucleotides long. RefSeq lists it as uncharacterized. Lineage: Eukaryota; Metazoa; Chordata; Actinopteri; Cypriniformes; Cyprinidae. The transcript has 3 exons. The record is from RefSeq and is a predicted model, not a curated record.
CUGAAAAAGCUUCAAGAUCACUGAUAAUCUUUGGUGUUCACAUUGCCGCUGCUUUCUUCAAAUUCAACCAGAUAUUAAGAAUUAAACCUGCAGAAUGAACAAGCCACUUAAAAAAAAAAUCUUCAACCGAUCCCUGAACCAAGCAUAAGUAAAUUUGGAUGUGUACUUUGGGAUGAUUGUCCUGCAGGAGAGUCCAUUGAUCAUCAAGCUUCAGUCUCUGCACCAAAGGCAUAGCAAUCUUUGCCUAAAGGAUCUGAAACUUAGAGAGGAGAGGAGAGGAGGCAUCAUAUUCGAAAAAUGCCGGAAACCGGAGACACGGCUCUUUUCAAGUGUAAGUACCUCAGGGAAAAACGUUGUUCAUUGUGGUUAAAUUGCACUUGUUUAAAAUAAAGUAAACGGCUGACUUGUUAAAAGUUUAAACAUUUUAAAUCGGUGAGAUGACUUUGUGAAUCGGCUGUAAAAGGUCUUUUUUAAUCGUUACGGAGCAAGCUAACGAACAGAUCGAGCUAACGUCAAUGCUGUACAUCAGCUUGUUAACACUGCUUUUUUUAAUGGAGACGUUCAUUGUUUAGCAGUUUAAUGAAAUUAGAAAAUUCAACGGAAUUACGAUUUUUCCCCUCUUUUUCUAGUGUUUAUAUUUAAGUUAGUAUAUAUUUUGUUGGCUACAUAGCAAGCUACUGUUAACAAGUAUGCCUCAGUUUGUCAAUGUAGCAUUAAUAGAUUGAUCAUGAUUAAUGUUUACUGUUUUGACCUUACAGGGACUGAUGAACACACUCGGCUCCUUGCCCAGUGGAGAGUGGCUAAUGAAGCCCUCUUCACUGGAAAGUGUAAUGCUGCCAUCAAAUGUUUUGGAAGCAGAAGCUUGAGGGCAAAAUUUCUGCUGCUCAAGUUAAACGGAAAUGGGAAAACCUAAAACAAAAAUAUAAAGACCUUAAAUGUCCAGAGAGAGGAUGGUGAGGUUACAGCAGGAUCUUGGAAGUGGUAUUCUGUCUUGGAUGGAUCACACCACCCAACCUUAUUGCCUCAUCCGGACCAGAUGUUGCAGUAACCUCACCUCGGUGAGGUCAACAGUUGAAAGAGUAGGGAGGAAGAGGAAGGACAUAGAGGAGCUGAUCCACAAGAUGGAGGAGAGAGAAGCAGAAAAAGAAAUUGAAGCAGUAGAAAGGGAGGUGAGGAGAUGGAGAGAGAUCAUGGAAAGGGAAGAAAGAAGAGAAAUAGAGAGACGAGAACGAGAGUCCAGGGAAAGAGAAGAACGAAGAGGCCGAGAAAUGAGAGGGAGAGAUUUCUUCAGCUUUUAGAGCUCAUGGCAAAAAAAUAAUAUUAAUAUUAAACUACACUUUCUUUCCAUUUAUUUAUGUUGAAAUUGUCAUUGUUUAUGAAUGGGUCAUUGAAUCGCUUUCUCAAACGAUUCGUUCAAAAAUGCAGAUUCAUUCAGCAACGAAACACUAAGAUAAAUAGAGAAUAUCCGCUGGAUGCAAGCAGCAUACGCUCUUCUGUGUCAGCCGCACCACAAGGAUGUUUACGCUUUUUCGUAUUGUUCAUUGUGUUGUUGUUUUUUCCUUUGUUUAAUCGUGUAUUUAUUAUUGUAAGGUGCCCUAGAGCGCCCAUAAAUAAAAUUAAUAAUAAUGAUAAUUAUUAUUAUUAAUAAUAAUAAUAAUAAUAAUAAUUUUUAGGGCUGCCCUCGACUAAGGAUUUUUCUGGUCGACUAGUAGUCAUUCAUUUCAAACAUAAUGCUGGGUACACACUAAAAGAUUUUUUAAAAUCUUAUAAGAUCUUCAAAAUGUGAGAGACCACAAACAUGAGGGAAAAAUUCCUAGAUUUAACUGUUUUGCUCCUAUAGUCUGUGGUAUCCUCGGGGUUCCCCCUCACACAUCAGGAUUUUUGAUUGUAAAUAUUCAACAUGUUGAAUAUUUAUGAUUCGCGAUCGGGGUGCCUCCGACGUUCUUCCAAGCAGAUUCAGUCACUGAACACACCUCACACCACAGGAAAAUCUGAUAAGACAAUCUUUAGAACCACCAGGAUAAUCGGAACAUUACCCAGGAUUGUCGGAAGAGGAGAAAUCGGCCUAAAAUCAGCCCGAUUAUCUUGUGGUUUGUACCCAGCAUAAGUCGACUAAUCGCACGUUUAUUAAUAAACCAUUUAAAUCAUUAUAAUGAGCCUUUAAUUGCCUACAUAUCCUAAGAAGUGCUCAAGCACACGCAUAAAUCUUGCCACAGCGCACCGGCAGAAGUAAUGAUUGUGAAUGUGCCAGGGAAAAACAGUGAGGAGGCUGCAUUAACAUUUUAAUAAUUUGAUAAACCAGUGCUUUCUUUGUUUCCGGUUUAAGAGAUGAAGUCGGCGACAUUGACUCUCCACAGUAGUGGAUGCACCUGUAUGCAUGUCUCAUACGGAUUACAUAAUCUGAGAAUAUUUGUUUUCCAUUUGAAUUGGUUCAUUUGAAAGUAGACAUUUCACUCUCUAUAGAUAUAUUUUUAAUGUCUGUAAGGCAAAGAUAUACACAGAGUUUCACGCUCAAGUUCACAGAGACGAAGACAGCAGAAAGCGCAUUAUGUUUGCUUUCAUUAUUUUACAAAAGCACAUUUUGUUGUUAUUGUGAGAGCACACAAAUAAACGUAGUCUUUACAGAUUCUAAAAAUGUAUUACUCUUAUCUGUAUGACCAAAAAUGAGGGAGUAUUUUAAGAGGAAGUGCUCCGGUGCCUCCAUCUGUCCUGCAAGUGAGCGCUACUGUUCAGCUUCCACAAUACACACAGACACUUGAAUAGUGCACAUUUCUCUAGGUUAACAUGUAAAUUUGCUGCUACUUGCAUAUUACAGAUGAUAAGCCAUAUUUGACGUUGAUGAAUGAUAGGUGAACGUUUGGAUGUCCUGCUUGAUGUACUGUAUUACCAUAGACUAGCCAUUAACGAUCUGUCCGUCAUGGACUGCGUAACAUCGCCUGUGGAUUUUUUUUUUUCUACGACUAAGAAUAUUUUGGUUGACCAAACCUUUUCUGGUUGACUAACAGAUUAGUCAGCCAUUAGGGGGCAUCCCUAAUAAUUUUCCAGGACAAUUUACGUUUCUCUAAUUUUCCACAAGUUUUCCAGGACUGGAAAAUUGGUCAUGAAUUUUACAGGACGCAUGGGAACCCUGCAUGUUCAAUUCAGCCUUUUAUGUUCUUCUGCGUUAAGACAAUUUCGUUCCUUACCAUAAAAAUUAGUGACUGAAAAACAGAAAUGCUAAAUAUAACUCAAAAAUAUUAUGGCUCUUUUCAGUCCCCUUAUCAAACAUUUGUGGAGAGGACUGCAAGGGUUAGACCCAGGUGAACUGGUUAAUUACAGACAAAUCUCAAAUCUGUAAUUUAUGUCUAAAAUAUUAGAAACAGUUUUGUAGAAUAGCAGUUCUGAAUAGCAAAUUUUGUUCAUUUAUAUUUAAUUUUAACCCCAUCAUAAUUGCAUCUAUUCUAGUGCUAUUAGAUCUUUCAUAGAGCACAACUUUUCUUAAAGAGCUUGAGAAUCAUGUUGUCAUUUGUGGACAAGAAUCAGCACAGUUUAGUUCCUGUCUAUCUGACCACUAACACUCAGUAUUCACUCCUCUGUUUUUCUGUUUGUAUAAGCUUCCCUUGAAAUACAUAAUUAUAGCUGUUAGGCUGAUGAUAUUCAACUCAAUAUUUUUUCACAACCAAAAAGAAUAAAAGAGUCUCUUAAACAUAUCAAAUAUAUAUAAUCCAAAAUAUAUCCAUAUUUUCUUGUAAUACAUUUUGACAAGACAAAAGAAUAAGGACCAAAAAUCUCCACCUAUCUAGAUCCUGAUGGAGGGAUGUACUAUAAUGUUAUUUUUCAUAAUUAAGAACCUGGCUGUUGCAUUCACAGACAAUAGUUUUUUGGACAAUAAUAGCCUUCUACCACCUAAGACUACUUUUCUUACUGAAAAAAUUAACACUUUAAUUUUCUGUAUUCUAUAGAGCUGGACAUUAUAAUAAGGAUCAAAUUUAGUGAGUUCAGUUUUGAAAAUGA